Molecule: ribosomal RNA, 322 nt
Filed under: uncultured eukaryote
Lineage: Eukaryota
Description: partial 18S ribosomal RNA
Rfam family: Eukaryotic small subunit ribosomal RNA
Source: RNAcentral
CCCUUAGAUGUUCUGGGCCACACGCGUGCUACACUGAGUAAAUCAAUGGGUAAGGGAACACGAAAGUGCAACCUAAUCUUGAAAUUUGCUCGUGAUGGGGAUCGACGGUUGCAAUUUUCCGUCGUGAACGAGGAAUACCUUGUAGGCGCGUGUCAUCAUCACGCGCCGAAUACGUCCCUGCCCUUUGUACACACCGCCCGUCGCUCCUACCGAUUGAGUGAUCCGGUGAGGCUCUGGGACCUGGACGGAAAGAGCGUUUCGCUUGUUCUGUUUGGGAAACUUGGUCGAACCUUAUCAUUUAGAGGAAGGAGAAGUCGUAACA